RNAcentral lists this unclassified non-coding RNA (283 nucleotides) under Bombus terrestris (buff-tailed bumblebee). Its description in RNAcentral is "misc RNA ENSBTSG00005035339.1". The record is from RNAcentral. Lineage: Eukaryota; Metazoa; Arthropoda; Insecta; Hymenoptera; Apidae.
AAAACGUUCCGCGGAUGUGUUUACAUCGCGUAACACGUGCAUUCACGGCUGCCAGGCGAUCGUGGAAAUUGUAACGCCGCUCAUGCGAACAUGAUGAUCGGUACAGAAGGGAUUCUUUUUGUCAAUGCCAAUUGGAGUAUUCCCAAUAAAUAACAUUGAAUUACAUUAGAUAAUUCCACUUUAAAAAGGGAUUUGUUUUAUAGCUGAAACUUCCAGGAACGUGGUCGCAUUUCUUUUUGAAGUUUUAGACCCCUGAUUUUCAAGAAGAAAUUUAUGAACUAAG